CUACUUAUGUGCCUAUAAUUUGCUGAAGAAAAUGACCUUUUGUUUAUUUAGCUCAACCUAAGCUUUUGCCUUUCUUGGAUUUCUUCUGGAGUUGGAAGCAAAAAUGGCCACCUGUGAAGAACAACUGGUGAGAGAAAACGUGGUUAAAGUUUUGCCCAAGACAAGGAUUCUCAAAUAUUAGAUUCUAAGCACCUGCUUGAAAUAGUAUCUUAUCGUAUUUUGGCAGCAAGUCUUGAUCAAAGCAUGUAAGCAGUGAAGCAAAUCAGAUGGUAGAUUGUUUAGCUAA
Long non-coding RNA from Coffea eugenioides, 286 nucleotides. RefSeq lists it as uncharacterized. Lineage: Eukaryota; Viridiplantae; Streptophyta; Magnoliopsida; Gentianales; Rubiaceae. The transcript has 3 exons. The record is from RefSeq and is a predicted model, not a curated record.